This 335-nucleotide ribosomal RNA is filed under the name uncultured bacterium. RNAcentral describes it as "bacterial SSU rRNA". It matches the Rfam family "Bacterial small subunit ribosomal RNA", at positions 335 to 654 of the family's 1533-position model. The record is from RNAcentral.
ACUCCUACGGGAGGCAGCAGUGGGGAAUAUUGCACAAUGGGCGCAAGCCUGAUGCAGCCAUGCCGCGUGAUGUAGCAAGAAUGGGCCUUCGGGUUGAUGAAAGCACUUUUCAGUUGUGAGGAAGGUGGUGUCGUUAAUAGCGGCAUCAUUUGACGUUAGCAACAGAAGAAGCACCGGCUAACUCCGUGCCAGCAGCCGCGGUAAUACGGAGGGUGCGAGCGUUAAUCGGAAUUACUGGGCGUAAAGCGCAUGCAGGUGGUUUGUUAAGUCAGAUGUGAAAGCCCGGGGCUCAACCUCGGAACUGCAUUUGAAACUGGCAGACUAGAGUACUGGGU